RNAcentral lists this long non-coding RNA (3139 nucleotides) under Oryza sativa (Asian cultivated rice). RNAcentral's name for it is "long non-coding RNA (OSAT_LNC000221)". The record is from RNAcentral. Lineage: Eukaryota; Viridiplantae; Streptophyta; Magnoliopsida; Poales; Poaceae.
CCAUCCCAUCCCACGAGGCCACGACCAAGCAGGCAGCAAGGGCUACCCACCCGCUUGACCGGAAGUGCCGCCGCGGCAGGUGCACGGGCUACUGCCGGUGGACGUCGCCGCCGCCGUAGUAGGGGCACGUCGCCAACGCCGCCCUCCGCGGCCGCCGCUGGAGUCGUCGCCGCCGCCGCAGGAGUCAACCGCUGCCGCAGGAGCACGUCGCCCCUGCCGCCGUGGGGACACGUCACCAACGCCGCCCCCCGCGCCCGUCGCGGCCGCUGCUGGAGUCGUCGCCGCCGUUGCAGGUGCUUGUUGCCCCUGCCGCCGACUCCUGUGAUUUCAUCGCUGUCGUAGAGGUAGACGGUUGUGAUUUAAUUGUGCCGAUUUUUGUUUGACCAGAUUUGAGUACUGAGAAUGAAUUGUGAAAUUUUCUUUAUAGGCAAACUCUUUAUGAGUGAAGAUAUGGCUGACAAUUUCAGGACCCUUGAGGAGGAAGAGGAGUAUCGUACGAUUACUGCUAUGAGAUUCAAGACUGAGGAUGACGGCUUCAAGUUAUAGGCUAUUACAUUUUGCAAUCAUGUCUCAAAGUUGUUUUGUCAUUCCUACAAUUUCAGGAAAGUAGAAGAAGAUGUGUGAGAUGGAUAAGAAGUAGAAGCAGCCCUUUGCUAUGCACUUUACAUAGUUUUGUCAUUCUCUUGGUCGUAAUGAAUACAUUGGACUGUAAUGAAUCUUUGAUGUGCUUUCCUGUAGUAUGAUGGAUGUACUGCUAUUUUGAGUUGUGCUCGCAUGGUUGAAUUUUGAUGUGUUUAACUGUAUGUGAACAUGGUGUAUGCGAAUCUGAAAAUUAUGUGUUUUGGUGCUGGUGCGUUCUGGAAAUGAAGAUAUGUUUGAUGUAUUGCAAUUUGGUGCGCUGAAUUGUUUACUGUAUGUGAGUAUGAAGUUGUGCUAGCAAAUUUGGUAACAUUGAGCCAAUAUUGCUUGAUAUGCUUGAGACUGACAGCCGGAUGGUUCUAAUUUAUUUGAGAUUUCAGAAAAAAAAAAUUGCAUUCAUAACAAUACAGUUCGUACAUAUACUCCAAGAUCUUGUACAUAAGAAUUGCAAUAACAAGUAGGGAACCCAUGAACCAACUUUUAACAUGGUCUGCCUCUUUGUUUAGCUUUGUAAUUUUUUUCUUAUAUGUUGCUUUACAAGCCAAAAUCUUGGCGGCCAUUUCAAAUUCAAGUUUCAUUUUGUCUUCCUCAACUUUCGCUCUAUCUGGACCAUUCGUACUGCCGCCUGGUUGGAUUUGUUGUGCUAGCAUGGUCCAGCGCAAGCCAAAGCUUCUCGAAUGCCGCGCAGGGGCCGCCGUCGUCGCCGCCGUGCAGGGGCCGCCGUCGCCGCCGCCACCGCCGCCGCGCAGGGGCCACCGUCGCCGUCGUGCCUUCAGCGUGGCCGUCGCCGCCGUGCCUUCAGCGUGGCCGCCGCCGCCGCGCCGUCCAGAUCGGGUGAAAGGGUAGGGUUUUGCUAGUCAGGAAGGAUAUGCUAGUCUGGAAGGAUAUGCCGCACUUCCCCAAACCAUCCACCGAUCCAAACUUCAUUCCAAACGCGAAACUACGAUUCUACCCUUCCACCCUUGCUCAAUCGCGCAGGCCACACCACGACCAAGUCGGUACCCCGAGGUACCAACUAAUCCUGACCAUUCGAUCUGUCAUCAUCAACGGUUGGGAUUUCAGUACCUCGCGGUACUAGUACCUUGCGGUACAAAAAGAAGGACCAGAGCAAUUCUCUUAUCUGAAAGUACAAACAAUCAUAUUUCACAUACAAAUCUUGCUUUUAUAUUUCAAGUUCUUAUAUAUUGGAGCAAGGUAGGCGGCUGUGGAAAAGACUACGUAGUCGUUAGCAAUGUCUCAGUCUUGUCCCUUUUUGCAUUGAACAGAUUUAUUUUUUUCAAUGAUAUAUUAAAUAAUUCGAGCGAUUGAAAAUCUGAAUGGUUAUCAAAACUGAUGUAUUAAUUGAUAAUACACUACCCCUGUGUUUCAUAUUAUAAGUCAGUUUUGAAUUUUUUAAGUCAAACUUCUUUUAAGUUUAACUAGAUUUAUAGAAAAAAAAAUUAAACUAGAUUUAUAGAAAAUUUUUUAGCGAUUUCUAUAACACCAAACUUGUUGUAGUACUCGGCACAUGGAAGACUCACUAGUCCAAGUCAUUGCUCUAACCAUAUCAGGCCGGAGUACUAACUAGUCAACAUCCUUCACAGCUGGCCAUUUAUUAUAGAGUAAUUUACACUAGCGGUCUUUAAACUUAUAACGAGGUUUCACUUAAGUUCAUAAACUUGUAAAACGUGUAUCAAGAUCCUUAAACUUGGUUUAAUGUAUCAUUCCGGUCCAAAGUCUCGUUUUACCGUGGUUUUGGCUACGUGGACGAUAAUAUAGCUAAAUUUUCUUUUUCUCUUUUUUUUUUCUCCCCAUCUUUUCUCUCCUUCCUCACCUGGCGUGGCGUCGCUCACCUUGCUCUCGCAGUCGCUCUCCCACCACUCCGCGCUGCUCCUCCUCCGCCCCCUCGCCUCCGCGCUCAUGUCCAUCGCCGGGAAUCUCCACACCGUGUCGCUGUUGUCGUCCUCGGCUGCCGAGCUGUCCUAGCUCGCCGCCGACGCGCGGCUGCUCGUAUCGCCCCGGAACGGUGGGGGUGAAGGGGUUGUGGCGGGGGCGGAUGUGCUGAUCCCGCGACUCUGCCUUGGUCGGCGGAUUCCCGCGCCACGGCGCUGGACGCGCUCGUUGACUCCGUCGGGUCGCCGCUGUCGGCGGCGGCGGUGUCCGCCGUGGCCGUGAUGCUCGACUCGGGCGAGAUCCUACCGGUGUUUUUAAUCUCUCUCUCUCUCAUGCGGGGGUGUGUGCGAGCUCGGAUUUUGGGCAUGUUAUCUGCCAGAGCAGAGAUGGAUGCGUGCAGCUAUGGAUUUGGGAUGAUAUCGAUUUCAGAUUGUUUUUUUUUUCUGUGCGUCGUGAUUUGUGAGUGAAUUCGUAGUUUCUCGUGAUGCAGAUUACCUCGGAGGAGGAGGAGGCCCGUCGGCAGCGAUGCAGUGGCAGUUUCCGGCGUCCAAGGUAAGCGUUCAUGUCCUUCAGGUCAUCGUCGUCGUUGGCGGCGGCGAGGGAGGAGGAUUCCAAGGAGGCGGCGGUG